RNAcentral lists this ribosomal RNA (385 nucleotides) under uncultured Bacteroidota bacterium. Its description in RNAcentral is "bacterial SSU rRNA". It matches the Rfam family "Bacterial small subunit ribosomal RNA", at positions 9 to 393 of the family's 1533-position model. The record is from RNAcentral. Lineage: Bacteria; Pseudomonadati; Bacteroidota.
GAGUUUGAUCUUGACUCAGGAUGAACGCUAGCGGCAGGCUUAAUACAUGCAAGUCGAACGGUAAGUGUUGUAGCAAUACGAUACGAGAGUGACGCACGGGUGCGUAACACGUAUGCAACCUACCUUGUACAGGAGUAUAGCUCGGGGAAACUCGAAUUAACGCUCCAUAAUGUAGCGGAGAGGCAUCUCUUUGCUACUAAAACUGAGGUGGUACAAGAUGGGCAUGCGGCUGAUUAGCUAGUUGGUAGUGUAACGGACUACCAAGGCGAUGAUCAGUAGGGGACCUGAGAGGGUGAUCCCCACACUGGCACUGAGAUACGGGCCAGACUCCUACGGGAGGCAGCAGUAGGGAAUAUUGGUCAAUGGGUGAGAGCCUGAACCAGCC